CCGGCGCACGGGUGAGUAACACGUAUGCAACCUGGCCGUCACAGGUGGAUAACCGGAAGAAAUUCCGACUAAUACAGCAUAACACUCCUGAGGGACAUCCUUCGGGAGUCAAAGGGGGCGACCCCGGUCACGGAUGGGCAUGCGGCGCAUUAGGUAGUUGGUGGGGCAGCGGCCCACCAAGCCGACGAUGCGUAGGGGUUCUGAGAGGAAGGUCCCCCACAUUGGAACUGAGACACGGUCCAAACUCCUACGGGAGGCAGCAG
Molecule: ribosomal RNA, 263 nt
Filed under: uncultured bacterium
Lineage: Bacteria
Description: partial 16S ribosomal RNA
Rfam family: Bacterial small subunit ribosomal RNA
Source: RNAcentral